This 783-nucleotide ribosomal RNA is filed under the name Triticum aestivum (bread wheat). RNAcentral describes it as "partial small subunit ribosomal RNA". Lineage: Eukaryota; Viridiplantae; Streptophyta; Magnoliopsida; Poales; Poaceae. The record is from RNAcentral.
UCCAUCGUCUCCGACAGGGACAAAAUCUUCACCAGCGCGAUGUGGCGGGAGCUGCUCGCCGCGGACGGCACCAAUCUCCUGUACUCCACUACCUACCGUCCUCAGACGGACGGCCAAACCGAGCGGGUCAACUAAUGCCUCGAGAUGUACCUUCGAUGCGCCGCACACGACACCCUGAAGCAAGGGCGCAAGUGGCUGCCGGUGGCGGAAUUUUGGUACAAGUCCACGCUUCACUCGUCGCUCAAGUGCUCUCCCUUCAAGGUGCUCUACGGCAUCGACCCCAACCUGGGGGGCUUGCCACACUUCGACUCCGCCAUGCCAGCGGACGCACCAACGGGCGAGCUAUACUGGGGUGCGCACACUGAUCGGCUUCACGCACAACUUGCCCGUGCCCAGGCAAGCUUCAAGAAGCAGACAGACCUCCACCGGGCGGUGCGAGCGUUCGACGUUGGGGAACAGGUACUGCUCAAGCUACAACCGUAUGAUCAGUCUUCGAUCGUCAAUCGCCCCUGCCGGAACCUCUCCUACAAGUUCUACGGUCCGUUCAUGGUGGCCGAACGGAACGGUACACUGGCGUAUCGCCUGCAACUGCCGGCAGAUUGCCGCAUCCAUCCGGUAUUCCAUGUUUCCCAGUUGAAGCCUGUCAUUCCUGAUUACACCCCUGUCUUCUCUGAACUACCACGAGUACUUGAGCUGGUCACCGGCGAGGCGGAGCCCAUGGCCAUCUUGGAGCGUUGCAUGAUGAAGGAAGGGGACAUGCCAAUCAUCCAGCUACAAGUGUAA